UAGAGCAACUUCAGUUAGUGCAAGAAAAAAAAGAUGGCAUCUCUGAACUAGAAUCUACUUUUGUUUGAAUAAAAUCGCUUUUCCUGUUUUGUUUAAUGCUACUUUAAAUUUAAGAUCUUAAAGGUGGAAGAUUUUUCUUCAAUGUGGGCGAGGAAGGUAAUAGCGGACUUUAUGCCAGUGGCGUUGAAAAUGAGUGCCAUCUAUGGAUCAUGGCCAUGUACAGGACUAUCUCGUAAACCAAUUCCCCUCGUUUAACCUCAAACCAGCAAAAACUUCAAACCAUAUCUAGGUUACAAGGAGGCCGGACGGCAUUGGAACUGCGACUGUUGAAGAGAAAGAUUUUUUUUGCCGAUAUUAAUGAACGUUAAAGAAUACUUCUCGAAAACCAAAUUACUCAUUUUAGGUAAAUAUAUUACUCUUUUCUUUAUAAUUUACUCUAAAUUAGCUUAUUGUUUAAAAUCCACUCUCAAAUUUGUUUUUCAGUUAUCCUCAUAGAGGUUGUCUCUAAUAUACUCGCUUUUUUUUCUCGCUCUAGACUUAGUUAAUAGCAAACUUUUAUCAGUUUUCCCCGAAGCAUAUAAUAUUGUUUACAUUUCAUUCAGUAUAGCUAAUUUUUGAAGCUCUUCUCAUAACUCAACUUUUUUUUUAAAUUUAAAAUAUUGUAUAUAAGAGAGCCAUUCACUGUAUUCAGAAGUUAUUUUAUUCAUCUAUCGUAACUUUUGAUUUAGUAUCUGCUGUGGCGCUACAGAACAAGAAACUUUGUGGAUUUUUCCUUGAAUUGAAUUUCCCUUUUCUUUAGAGUUCAUAUGUACCUUAAAUGUGCUUAAUUGAGUAUAAUUUUGUAUCAUGGAAAUUAAGCACUGUUAAAAGUGCUUAAAAGUUCUUACUUGUUCUUUAAAAGAAAAAACGUAAAUAAAAGCUUAACUUUUAAGUUAUAUUUUGUAUUAUUAUUUUUUUCCCUUUUCAAAAAUUUGAUUCUUUUUUAAUAAGUUGUUAUUAUGUCAUGCAAAUUUCUGUAAUGUAUUUUUGACACGUAUUUUCUAGCUUUAUAAUAUAAAAAAAUAUUUUCUAGUUUUGGAUUUGUUCAAUCCAAGCUGUGCUGCUGACAGGCUAAACGUGGGUGGUAUUCUAGGUUAACCCACGAAAAAAAAUCCGCAUGAAUCAAAAAUCAUAAAUCUGAAGGGGAAAAAAAUUAUGGCUUUUGAGAAUAUCUGUAAUAAUCUGCUUAAAACCAAAUUUUCUAGAGCUAUGAAAUUUUAUUGUUUGCUACUAUCUACGAUAAUUUUUUCUACUUUUUGCGUAAUUUUAGAAGGAAUUAAUAAAAAACCAAAACAAUUUGAUUGAAACGACUGUAUUCUUGUAUGGAAAUACUGUAUUGUUUUUAUGGAAAUUAAAUCAUCAUCAAAAUUAAAUAAAUGCUGAGCAUUUUGUUCUUUCAUAAACAACAAAUCUUUC
Parasteatoda tepidariorum (common house spider) is the source of this 1455-nucleotide non-coding RNA. NCBI's taxonomy places the organism in Eukaryota, Metazoa, Arthropoda, Arachnida, Araneae, Theridiidae. The record is from RefSeq and is a predicted model, not a curated record.